This 253-nucleotide ribosomal RNA is filed under the name uncultured bacterium. Its description in RNAcentral is "partial 16S ribosomal RNA". It matches the Rfam family "Bacterial small subunit ribosomal RNA", at positions 524 to 776 of the family's 1533-position model. The record is from RNAcentral.
UACGUAGGGUGCGAGCGUUAUCCGGAAUUACUGGGUGUAAAGGGUGCGUAGGCGGCCAUGCAAGUCAUAUGUGAAAACUCAGGGCUCAACCUUGAGACUGCAUCUGAAACUGUGUGGCUAGAGUAUGGGAGAGGAAAGUGGAAUUCCGAGUGUAGCGGUGAAAUGCGUAGAGAUUCGGAGGAACACCAGUAGCGAAGGCGGCUUUCUGGACCAUAACUGACGCUGAGGCACGAAAGCGUGGGGAGCAAACAGG